RNAcentral lists this ribosomal RNA (293 nucleotides) under uncultured bacterium. Its description in RNAcentral is "partial 16S ribosomal RNA". It matches the Rfam family "Archaeal small subunit ribosomal RNA", at positions 455 to 747 of the family's 1478-position model. The record is from RNAcentral.
GUGCCAGCAGCCGCGGUAAUACCAGCAGCCCAAGUGAUGGCCGAUCUUAUUGGGCCUAAAGCGUCCGUAGCUGGCCGCGCAAGUCCAUCGGAAAAUCCACCCGCCCAACGGGUGGGCGUCCGGUGGAAACUGUGUGGCUUGGGACCGGAAGGCGCGACGGGUACGUCCGGGGUAGGAGUGAAAUCCCGUAAUCCCGCACGGACCACCGAUGGCGAAAGCACUUCGAGAAAACGGAUCCGACAGUGAGGGACGAAAGCCAGGGUCUCCAACCGGAUUAGAAACCCCAGUAGUCC